GUGGUGCUUCUGCAGGAGGUGAGAAACUGUGCUGCGCAGAGGCUCGCGCGCAGCCUGCCUCCUCUCGAGUCGGCUGCAGAUGCCAGCAGCGAUGAGAUGGGCUGGAGAUAGCGGGAUGACGUGCCGGGACUGAGCAUGGCUCUUCUCCUCUCCUGUGCCGCGCUUGUGCUCCUGCUGCUGCUGGCUUUUCCUCAAGAGGCUCUCAGAUGUCGUGAGAGCAAAGUGAUUCUCGUGACCGAGGGGGAGCCCAUCUCGAUUGCGUGUCCUUUCCACGAACACUGUGGCACCGAAGAUACCUUCUAUGAGAUCAUCUGGAGCUAUGAGAAGGACUCGAGACGGAUCCUGCAGUUUAGGACAACACCUCCCAAGAACACCUCCAUUGUGUUACGCAAUGAAGGUCACUUCAGCGGUCAGCUGGAUUUUCGAAGGCGCAUGAGCUUUCUCAACAUCUCAGAAGUGCUUAUAAAUGACACUGGCCGUUAUCUCUGCUACGUGAAGGUAGGGCACAGCAGUCCGUCGACAGAGGUGACUCACCUGCUCAUUAGAGGUGAGUUUGGCUCUCUUUUAACAUUUUGGCUACUUCUCAGAGAGCCUAACAGUCAGAUUCUAAGCCUUUGGGAAGCGUUAGCCCUGUCAGAGUGACUUCGGUGGACAAGGACCUGCUGACCUGCCCUUGUGUUGGGAAAGGGAGGAGAAUUUGCAUUUUAGCACUCAGCUGGAUGAGGUGCAGGCACUGUUAAUGCCUUAUAGAGCCUUGCUUUACGUGUCUGACACUGCAUCUCUGCAAUUCUUACUCAUCUGCAGUGCAGCAUGCAAAAUUGUCUUUGGCACUGAACUGCAUCCCUUUUAUUUUAUUAUGUAACUGUGUUGUAUUAUGUUAUUUCAUAAAUUUUCUUCAGAAUUGUAUUUGCUUUUGAACUUGUGAUUUUUCACUUUCCCUCUGUCCUCCUCUUUUUUUUUCUUUUCUAUAAAUUAAUAUAUAUAUAUAUAUGGUCUGUAUAACAUUUAUUGCCAUUAGCUGUUUGAAUGAGGUAGUCAGAAAGAGAGGAAAAAUACAAUGGUCGCUGGUGGCUGUGUUGUUUACAGCUUAGUAAAGUAAAUGUUCUGCUCUUUAUGCUUUAGCUUUCUCCAAAGCUGAAGUCAGCUUGGAAAGUCUAGCUGUGGGUUUUUCAACCACAGAACCGUGUACCCAUCUUCAGAGCUGUUGCUAAUCCCAGUGUCGUGACAAUUGGUGACUGUGUGGAGAAGCAGUCUGGUGUAUCGGCUGCGCACAAGUGUAAUCCCUGCGGCAGGGGGCUGAGAUUUCCCACAAAGGGGAUCUCUUUCCUUCUGACAAAAGUGUCCUGGGCCCCUUGUUUUGUUUUGUAAGCAGCAGAUAAGCUACGCAAGGGGGCAAAGUGUAGGUCGAAGCCUUCGCUGCAGCCCCCACAGCAAACACGAGUCCCUUGCCAGGCUCUUUGCAGUCCCGAGGCCGGGGUCUGCUCUUCAGCACAUUGCCCUGGCGUUUUGCAGGGAUCCGUUGUUCUUAUGCCAAAGAGGAUGACAGUGGUUCAGAACUAGAAGUGUGGGAAUGAUGUGAAACACAAAGCAGCUGGUUGGGGCAGCAGUGGAGCUGAGCCAGUUUCCAUGUGUGGCACCC
Long non-coding RNA from Apteryx rowi (Okarito brown kiwi), 1639 nucleotides. Lineage: Eukaryota; Metazoa; Chordata; Aves; Apterygiformes; Apterygidae. The record is from Ensembl.